RNAcentral lists this small RNA (183 nucleotides) under Arabidopsis thaliana (thale cress). Its description in RNAcentral is "ATSL023980". Lineage: Eukaryota; Viridiplantae; Streptophyta; Magnoliopsida; Brassicales; Brassicaceae. The record is from RNAcentral.
UUAGGUAACUUUUCCAAAAAUUAAUGUUAUCCAAGAUCAGAACAGAAUUAAACAUGUUAUCCAGGAUCCGAAUAGAGUUAAAUCGGGUAAAACCCACCCAUUUGAAUUAAUUGUUGAAUUAUGGUUCACAUCUUCAACAUUAUCUUCAAAAACCUCCUACAAAAAUGUAUAUAUAGAUUAAUU